CCCUUAGAUGUCCGGGGCCGCACGCGCGCUACACUGAAGGAAUCCGCGUGGCUUUCUCCCUGACCCGAAAGGGUUGGGAAACCCGUUGAAUCUCCUUCGUGAUAGGGAUUGGGGCUUGAAAUUGUUCCCCAUGAACGAGGAAUUCCCAGUAAGCGCGAGUCAUAAGCUCGCGUUGAUUACGUCCCUGCCCUUUGUACACACCGCCCGUCGCUACUACCGAUUGAACGGUUUAGUGAGGGCCUCGGAUUGGUCUCGGCCCGCUCUUUACCGGGCGGCGCCGUUGGUCGAGAAGACGCUCGAACUUGAUCGUUUAGAGGAAGUAAAAGUCGUAACA
Molecule: ribosomal RNA, 334 nt
Filed under: uncultured eukaryote
Lineage: Eukaryota
Description: partial 18S ribosomal RNA
Rfam family: Eukaryotic small subunit ribosomal RNA
Source: RNAcentral